GGCCCGUUCUCCCCAGCUCCAGAGCAGCAGCAAAGGGAAGCAGCGUCCUCGCCAAUACCUGGGCUGUCCUUCAAGGCUCAGUGCAAGGAAAAACACCUGGGUUGGACAUCAGGCAUUAUGACUCUCACCCAGAGGGACACCAUGUCUAGGAGCUUCUUCUCGUGUGGGCCCUGUUCUCCAGAUGUCUGAUGGAUAAGGAAAUUGAGACUCAAAGAGGACCCCCAUGGAGAAAGUAAUGAAGCUUGAAUUUAGACCCAAGAUCAUGUCCCUUUCACUUCCUCAGCCUGCCCAGGAAGUUUAUAGCGUGCUCAUGCCACAAACCCUGGAGCUGGAUACGCGCUCAAUUGGCUUGAAGACCUUGGUCCUCAAUAGUCCUCUCUCCCCUUACUCACCAGGUAGUGCUGACUUCCAGACCACUGAGGUCACCUGCAUAAGCGAGUCUGGCAACAAAUAAUCGUCUUCCAGAAAAUGACCAGAAACUCAGCCUGCUUUUUGUCAUUUCACCAGCCCCACCAUCUUUCCUUUAUUCUAGAGCUCCUGGCACACUUACAUGAAUCUCUUGAAAGAAGAGAAAUGAGAGCAUUCAUUCCAUACUAAUACAAUUGUGCCCUAUGGAAAGGCUUUUUGCUGGCAGACAUAGUAGACGGACCAUUUCCCAACUUCUUUUUCUUUGCCACCUUCCAGCCAAAGGUGUCCAUAUGACACAGCUCUGGACAGGAUAAUUGGAAGUCUGUUGUGGGAUUUCUGAGAAAGCUUUUGAUUUUCUGACAGAGACAUUUUUGCUUCCCCUUACCACUUCCUACUGGAUUACAGAUGUGAUGGAAAGAGCUGCAGCAGCCAUAAUACAACCAUAAAGGAGAGGAGAAGAGAAUUGCAAAGGCAUCAACCCACAUUGAAUUGAACUGCUAAGUUAACACUAGCAGUUACUUGCCUCCAGAUAUCUUGGUGUGUGAGAACAUUAAAUCUGUAUGUGUCUAAAUCAGUAUGGGUGAACAUUUCUGUCACUAAAGUCAAAAGCAUCCCUGAAACAGUGCAUGAUUCCAUAUGACCCUUACCACAACCCUGGUAAAUAGGUAUAAUUAUCCUUCA
This 1089-nucleotide long non-coding RNA is filed under the name Homo sapiens (human). RNAcentral describes it as "HSALNT0361583". Lineage: Eukaryota; Metazoa; Chordata; Mammalia; Primates; Hominidae. The record is from RNAcentral.